UAUGGAGGGAUCACAUCUCUAUAUAUAUAACUCUUAGUGUUUUGAUUAUGUUUCAUUCACAAAACAAAUAAUCAAAAAAAUGGCUUUAUCAUACAAAUCUUUCUUUUUACUAUUCUUGUGUUUGGUUGUUCUCUUGAUCCCAAAAUUUGCGGGGGCGGACGAUACACCACAAACAGAUUAUGUGAUAGGUUCUUGCAAGACAACUCAAGAGUGCAUCCAAAAAUGCAUUAAGGUAAACUUGCAUCACGGAAGAUGUUAUCGGGUGGCUGAUGAUCCUGAAAAAACAUGUGCUUGCUAUUGAAUAUAAUGUUAUUAAGAUAUUGAAUUAUGGAUAUGUUGUCUUUAAAAGUAUAACAAUAAUAAGAAUAAUAUUAGGGGUGGCGUUAUAUAUCAACCUCUACUUACCCCA
This is a long non-coding RNA of Camelina sativa (false flax), 409 nucleotides long. RefSeq lists it as uncharacterized. The record is from RefSeq and is a predicted model, not a curated record. Lineage: Eukaryota; Viridiplantae; Streptophyta; Magnoliopsida; Brassicales; Brassicaceae.